UGCGGAGUAGAGCAGUUCGGUAGCUUGCCAGUCUCAUAAGCUGGAUGUCCGUGGUUCAAAUCCACGCCCCGCAACUA
RNAcentral lists this transfer RNA (77 nucleotides) under Bifidobacterium apri. RNAcentral describes it as "tRNA-Met". It matches the Rfam family "tRNA". Rfam says of the family: Transfer RNA (tRNA) molecules are approximately 80 nucleotides in length. Their secondary structure includes four short double-helical elements and three loops (D, anti-codon, and T loops). Lineage: Bacteria; Bacillati; Actinomycetota; Actinomycetes; Bifidobacteriales; Bifidobacteriaceae. The record is from RNAcentral.